Molecule: RNA transcript, 10165 nt
Organism: Homo sapiens (human)
Lineage: Eukaryota; Metazoa; Chordata; Mammalia; Primates; Hominidae
Gene: PAQR3
Gene name: progestin and adipoQ receptor family member 3
Exons: 7
Source: RefSeq, marked reviewed
AGAGGAGGCUGCGACGCUGCCGGGUCCGCCGCGGCGCUGGCGGCAGUGGCCGGUGUGAGCGCAGAGCCGGGCCCUGGGCAGCAGCGGCAGCGCGGUAGGACCUCGCGCAGCGUCCGCGGGCUCCGGGGCGGGGGCGCCAGCGGCGAAGCCCCCUCCCCGGGGAGGCGGGACCUGGGGGAGCUCCCGAGCCGGGGAGCGGCGGCGGCCGGGAACGAUGCAUCAGAAGCUGCUGAAGAGCGCGCAUUACAUCGAGCUGGGCAGCUACCAGUACUGGCCGGUCCUGGUGCCCCGUGGCAUCCGCCUGUACACCUACGAGCAGAUCCCCGGGUCCCUCAAGGACAACCCGUACAUCACCGACGGCUACCGGGCCUACCUGCCGUCCAGGCUGUGUAUCAAAAGUUUGUUUAUUUUAUCUAAUGAGACAGUAAACAUCUGGAGUCAUUUGCUGGGUUUCUUUCUCUUCUUCACCCUGGGAAUAUAUGACAUGACAUCUGUGUUACCUUCAGCAAGUGCGUCCAGAGAAGAUUUUGUAAUUUGUUCUAUUUGUCUUUUCUGCUUCCAGGUCUGUAUGCUUUGCUCUGUGGGCUAUCAUCUUUUUUCCUGCCAUCGGUCAGAAAAAACAUGUCGAAGAUGGAUGGCAUUAGAUUAUGCAGGAAUUUCUAUUGGAAUACUGGGCUGCUAUGUCUCAGGAGUAUUUUACGCAUUUUAUUGUAAUAACUACUGGCGUCAGGUGUACUUGAUCACAGUGCUUGCUAUGAUCCUGGCAGUGUUCUUUGCGCAGAUUCAUCCCAAUUACCUCACGCAGCAAUGGCAAAGGCUCCGUUCUAUCAUCUUUUGUUCUGUUUCGGGAUAUGGAGUGAUUCCUACUCUUCACUGGGUUUGGCUCAAUGGAGGAAUUGGUGCUCCUAUUGUACAGGACUUUGCACCCCGUGUAAUUGUGAUGUAUAUGAUUGCUCUUCUUGCUUUCCUAUUCUACAUUUCCAAAGUCCCAGAGCGGUACUUUCCAGUUUGGAGAGCUAUGAGUCAGGGAGCAGUUUAAAUCUAAACUGCAAAUUUAUCCCCUCUUCUUCCUGGGUUAAGAAUCACUUCCACGGUGAAUCAGAGAAGGGAUUGUACCACUCGUCACGUGUGUUGGGAAAGAAGAAAGGGUGAGAAACCCUGGCCUAAACAAUCCAUCCCACAGAUCCUCAGGCAUUCCUUUGUGUACUUGGUUUUUCACCACUGAGCUUUAAAUAAGAAUGGAAAUACAAGGGAAAACCUGCGUUGUAAACAUGAGGAUUUGGGAACAGAUCUAGGACAUGCCACUGAAUUGAAGACCACCCAUCUUCCAGGCAGGGCCAGAAUUACAGAAAACAAUUCUGGACAACUAAACUACCUCGGAUCAAGCCACCAAAUAUGGCAUAUCCUUGCAGUAGUGAUGUUAUAUUGGUGGCAUCAGUCAACAGUGUAUGUCAUGCAGUACAGACAUAGCAAGCCUUGUCCUGACUAUGUUUCACAUUUGUGAAUUAGGUAUGGCCACCUGGUGAAUUCAGUUGUUAAGCAAUAUAUAAUGGGGAAUUGUAUACCCCACUAUUUCUAAGAUUCCCAUUAGUUUUCCCUUUUUCCUUUUUAAUAUGAGUAAUGCUUUAUAAAAAUGGGAAAAAAAGUAUACUUAAGGAUCUGUAGUAAUAACUGCUUUACAAAAUCCUUAAAACUACUAAUUUGCUGCUUGUACAGAAAGUGAAAAUUAGUUGGCAAUCAUAAGAAACAUCUGAAUAACAACGAUGAAUGGGAAACUAGUGUUGAAAUAGGAUUCAUUUUACUUAGCACCAGCUUAAUUUCCUUAGGAAGGGCUCAUGUCCAUUAGAAAAUGGAGUCAUCUUAUGUGCUUAAUUAUUUUCAGUUAAUUGUCAAGUUUAAGUGCCUAAUCAAGGCAAGUGUUGUUUCAGCCUAUGCUUAAUGCAAGCUAGGAUAGUGAUUUUAAAUAAUCACUAAAAUCACUAGAUUUAAAUAAUCACUAAAAUGAUUUGUGAGAAACUGGCACUUCAGAUAUUAUAUCCUUUAGCUAUAGGUUCUUCUCUCCCUAAGAACAUUAGAUAUUUUAGUUUUCCAGAACAAAAGCUUUAAACUUCUGCAGUAAGUUGAGAGAAGGGUUGAGAAGAGGAAAAGAACUUCUCAUUUUCUAUCAGAUAAGAAUCACAUUAGAAACUAAGUACAAGAUUAGACAACAAAUUAUGUGGUCAAAUAAUAUAGUCAUUAGCCACCUAAACAUUUUAAUUCCAGAUAUUAUUUAAUUCCAUAUAAUAACUGAAUUCUUGUGAGUGGAUUACAGGUUUUUGAUCCCAAAAUUCCAGAGCUUUCAACUCUCUGAAUUUGUAGUCCUGAAUAUCCCAGUGGUGGGGGUUCCCAGCAUUGUGGGUGCUACUUGCAAGGCCAUAGAAUCUAGAUGGCCCUGUCUUGACCCUGAAAUGAACCUUAAGCCUUAGAACAAAGUCAUGCAGAUGCCCCAUUUGAUAAUAAUCUUAUUCACCUGUGCUCUGGUCCUCGGUUUCUGCAUGUGUUAGCAUUGCAUUGAUAACUCAGAAUCUUGAUAAACACUUAAUAUUUGGGCCUGAAGCAUUAAACUUUCUUUUUAUUGUAUAUACUUAAAAAAUAGAACUCACUGCCCUAUCAUACAUUGUAGCCCUCUUAUUCUUUGGUCUUUCAUAUGCAUUAGUUAAAUCCCUUAAAGUAGACAUUCAUAAAAACUUACAUUGUUUAUUGGAGUAUAAAAUAUUACCCAAGUUUCUUCAUGAGUUGACAUGAGCUGUUUUAAAUACUGGUGUAUUUUCAGAACAGUAAAAUUACUGAAUAUCAGAAAAAAUGUUAAUUGAUGAUGAAGCUUAUUCCCAAAAUGCCUUUUGUGCAUAUGAUACUUGGAAAGUCACUAAUGUGCCUCAGUUAAUACAUCAGUAAAAUGUUGUGUUUCUUUUCCAGUGUAGUGUUUUUGGAAUAUAAAUUCCCCAUGCUAGUAUAGUAUCUCAGCAAAGAGAAUUUCCCCCCAGGAGGCUCAGUAAAGGAAUACCGUGUCUUACCCAUCGUUAUGAUGGAAGGCUGCUUUGAAAAUGGCUGUUUUACCUUAUAAGGUUAAAAUUUUGAUCCAUAUGUUAAGUGAUAGAAGAUUUUGGUGCAACAGUAGUAGGAUAUAUUUCUCCUAGAACAUCCCUUAUUGGCUUACAUGAUUUUAUUGCCUUUUAAUAGAUAUUUUGUCAUUUUGGCCAAACAAAAGACACUGAGUAGUUACACUUAAGUUAAAAAUGAGGGGAAAAUCAUUAUUUUAGGUGUGGAGCCAUUUUUAUUAUAAAACUUUCUCAAAAUAAAAAAACAUUGAAUCAUUUCAAUUUUUGCAGUCCCUGUAUUAGUAUAUGAAUACAUACUUGCCAUUUGAAUUAAUAACAUGAAAAGAGUAUACUGUGUUUUUAAAUCCGUGUUUCUUUGAAUUUAAAGGGUGUACAGGUCUUUCUGUAGGGAAAAUUAUUCCAUGUAAACAUUUCAACUCUGUAUGAAAAUGUUAAAUAUUGUAAGAAAGUUAUCCUCUCAUUUUUUCACUGCUAUGAUAUAUUUAUUAUAAAAUAGGGAAUGAAUGAAUGAAUAUGGAUUGCUGUUAACUAGAAACACUUCUGUAUGUCAGUCAGCAUUUAAUGACCACCUACUGUGUGCACAGCACUACUGGUAAAAUUUUGAAGACAUUGUUAACAUUAAAAAAUAUUUUAAAGUUGUCUACAAAUCUGAGCCUUGUAAUGAUGUAUAUUUAAGUUAUUUUUGUUUUUAUAGAUUAAAGUAAGAUUAAAAUAUACUAUCCAGUUUUAUUACUAAAAAAGACUGGUUUUAAUUUUACCAAUGUGUGAACUAUAAAAGCUUUUUGCCUACAGAUUUUACAUUUUAAAAUUAUCUAUGGCUGUUUUAAAUUGUCUAGCAAUUUAUAUGGUUGUGGUUAACUCAUUUAAGAAACAAUUAUCUUUCUAUAUUAAGCCAUUUUCAAAUAGCAAGACAGUGCUUGUCUUUUUUUGUUAUUACACUAACUGCAAUUCAGUAAGCUGCAUGACAAAAUAUGUAUUAUGUAAAUAAACUGGGUUUACUAAAUAUUUUUAACUGCUGCUUGUCAUUCUUUGUAAUACAUAACAGCUUUAAAAUCAUAUUUUAGAAUCAGGAACGAAGAUUCAGGGAAUGUCUGUCACAUCUUAUGGCAUCCCACCUGGACAGAAUAUCCGAUUUGAAGAUUGUGAUUGACUUCCGUAAAACUGUACAACUCUCCAUUUGGCAGGUACCUACUAGAUAAUACUUUGCCCUGUAUUAAAUGUCAAGGGGCAAAGCCUAUUCCUGUGAAUUCCUGCUGGUUGCUUUGCUGCAUUAGGUCCCUGUCCACUGUAAAUCAUCAUUCCUGGGAAUUCUACUUCUGCCCAAGUGUGUAAAGAAUCAGCUCACCUAUUAGAGAAGGGGUAGAAAUACCUUCUGUGUGCAUUAUCACAAUAACUGUGUUUACACUAAAGAGGUGUAAAUACAGUCCUCUGAAAUUUUGUACCAGAAUUCCCAAGUAGUGUAAUGAGAUAAUGAUCCAGAACUGAAACUACCCUUAAGAAAACAUUUUUGGAAGGGAGAGGUAAAUAGCAGUAGGGGGUUUCUUGUGAAAAAUUAACCUCCAUCCUUAAGAGGGCUGAAAUGAACAGCCACCAAGGUUCUAGUCCUGCUCUAUAAAAUCUGAGAUCAAAAUACUACCUAACCUGCACAUAAUCUCAAUUGUGACAACCAUCUGAACUAUCUCAUUUAAUAUGUAACAACAAAUACAAGCUCAAGCUUUCAAUAUGAGAAUAUUAACUACAUGUUACAUAUGAUGCUUGACCUGGGCUUCCUUAAAAAGGUAUUCGUUAUCCAAAAUAAAUAGCUCAAAUUGCAGCAUAUAUUCAUCUCAAGUAACUAUAACUGAAUUUGAACAGUAAUACACUGCAAACUAUUCUUUGUUAAUAGAACUUUUCUAAUCAUUUGUGUUAUUUUGCUUUGUACCAUUCAUUUUCAUUAAAAAGAUACAAAGCCCCUUUUUUUCACAUAACUUUAGAUAAAUGUUACAACUUCAGAAAAAGUUAAUUCAUAAAAAUAGGAUGAACCUUUCCACAGGCUACCAAAGACUCCAGUUUUUGGAAUAAUACAUAUUAUAACCUUGAUGCCAAGCUUAGUCCAUCAAUCCAAUAAAUAGGUUUUCUCUUUAAUGUGUCAUAGCCUCUUUUCUGAUAUAAUUGAGGAUUACAAUGUUAUUUAAGCAAAUAACCAGUAUUAAUUCAGCCAAAGAUGUUAUCAGUUUUAAAGAUUUUUAAAAAUUUAUAAUGUGGAAGCUGUAAAAUAAGUUAUUCAGAAGGCACUACACAAUAUUGUUUUUGCCUUACUGUCAUCACUCGAGUAUCAGUAAUUAUGACUCACUGAAAAAGUCGUGCUAUUAAGUGUUCUUGUGGCAAAAACUCUUAAGUCAAAUGGGUUUUCUUACCUAAAUUGUAAACUCUGAGCUCCUUAAGAAUAGGGAUCUAAUCUUAGCAACUUUUCUAUUCCACUAGCUGCUACAUAAUAGGUGCUUAAUGUUUGUGGUGUGAAUGAAAUAACUGAAUUUGAAUAGAAGUUUACAUCCAAAAGUCAUAAUAAGACAAAUAAUGAAAAACUCCAAAGUCACUGAUUAUAAAGAAUAUGCAAUCCAUUUGGGAUUUAUUGCAUUUAAAGAAAACAGAUUAAAACAGGUAUGAUAAAUACAGUAAGAAAAUAACUUUAAAUUUCAAACAAAACAGUGAAUCAGGGACAGAAUUCAGUCAAAAAGAAUAAGCAGUGUAAAGGCAAUAAAGUAAUAAAAUCAGUUAGUGCUUAAUUAGAUAUGGCAGGGGAAAAGGGGUGGGAGGGGGAGACUGAGUCUAUCUCAUAAUUGUUUCCCAGCUAUAUUUGAGGACUGAAGUUACUUUAGCAAGUAUGUUUUGUAACAAGUAGAAAUACAAUAAAGAUGUAAAUUUGCUUUAUUUAAAGGUUAAAGUUAUUUGCUUAGUGGUACAUAAAAGGCUUCAGAAAAUUCAAGUUUAACAAAAAAUGGAAGUGUAAUCAAAGAAAGUGCACUUAAAGCUGUUUGCCAGCAAUUAAAAAGUAGCUUCUAUACAGCUUCUAUUAGAUGACUUUUCAAUCACAAAAAGAGCAUAGUCAUAAAAACAAUUCUUUCAAAAGUAGCAGUAUAAAUUUUAAAAUAAAACAAAAAUAACCCCAAAUCAUGACCCUUUGCAUUAUCAUCUACCUUAUUCUCUUAGUAGCUUUUGUAAACCCUCACUAGGAGUGAAUGUUCUCUUAGAUAUGAUUGUGGUUGCAAUUCCAUUUUUUAAAAAUUCACAUUAACUCCACAGUAGAGAGAUGUGACAUGCAUGUGUGUACAUAUUUUUAUCUUAAUAUAUAAAACACCACUGAGUAUAAAAGUUCUCAAAUAAACUAUUCAUCAUUUAUGGUAUUCUCACAGUAGAUAUGUCAUCUCAUUCUCACAGUAGACUGUCAACUCAAUAAUUGGACCUAAAAUAACAAGUUUGCUAAAAAGAAAAAAAAAUGAGAAAAAAGUUUACUGCACAUUCUAAAUAUAUUAAAAACAAAUGUACCCAAGCGCCUCAAAACUAGUGAUAUUAAUACACUUGUACCUUCUAACAGUGCUUACGUGAAGUACCAAAACCUAAAAUAAACCAAGCAGAGUAGCUGACUUGUAAGAAAACUGCUCUGCCUGGUGAACUUCAGCAUAGAAGAGUGGGCUCCACCUUAGAUUUUCCACCAGCAAGAGGACAACAGUCUAUCACUCUUAAACAAUAAACAGGGUAAGACUGAAAGUUGUGUCUAUUUGCAAAUCCGGAUAAUGUCGUAACUAUACCCAACACGUACACAGGGAUUGGGGUAAGGGAAAAUAAUUACACUCCUGAAUAAAUGUUCUAGUCAGUUAAAUUUUCAUCCGGCCUACAACCUUUCCUCCUCCACCUAUUAUACUUACCAUGCAAUUUUUGUGUCUUAGCAGAUACAUUCUUCAAUGCCAUAAAAAGCUGAUCUUUUUAAUACUAACAUUUUACUGACGUGAUAUUAAAAUAAGCAAAUGGUCCACUUUUUAAAGGAUUAUUCAAAAUCAACAAGCAUUAUUAAAGCUGUUAAGAAACAACUUUGGCCUCAAGAUUUUUGCUAGCUUCAUAAUAAUUUACUUCUCUUAGUGAUGUUCAAGUAUAACAGGUUUAGUUAUAACUACAUCCUAAAGAAGCACAGGGGACACCCAAAUAAUAUUAGGGAAAAAAAACCCCAAAUAUAUAUAUAUAUAUAUAUUUGCUUAGUGGUACAUAUAUAAUAACCUUUCUUCCUUCCUUAAACCAGAAUUGAACCAUCCCAUAAUAGAGCCAAACUUUUAUUGAGUGCUGUGUGCCAGGUACUGUGUUAAGCACUUUCACAUAUCUUGGGAGCUUUAUUCUCAUAAUUCUCACAAGGGAAUAACCUGAGCAUCAGCUGUGUGGAGUGACCUACACCUUGACCAUGAUUCUGGGGGAUGAUGAAUGAAAAUGCAAAGUAUAAAUCUAUACUCCUUAGGAAAAUGCCUCUACUACAACACAAAGGAAUCUCUCCAUUUCUAUCCUAUUGAACCCCCAAUUGAAUCCUGUAUCUUUUCUCUGAGCUACAAUCUUGAAAGAAGAAAGUCACUGUGCUGUGUUAUAAGAAUGUAAAUAUUUUAUGCUGUCAGUUGUUUCCUCAGAAUUUAUAAGUCAAAGGGUCUACAUCAGUGUCAGAAUCAUUUAAAAUUAUUCAGUGUAUUGAAAAGCAAGUAAAACUCUAGGUAUUUCAUGUUUACAUCUGAAGGAGACAUUAGUUCAUCCUCUACCCCUUUUCUAAAUGAUGAAACUCAUGAGGUCUAGCAGAGACCAAGGACUAAUACAAUCAAGAAGCAUAUUGUGUACACCUCAACAGAUUUUCAUUAAAAAAAAUUGUUUGAUACAAACCUACUGUAGUUCAUGAAUUUACUAUGUGUAAUCAUCAACUCUUCACUUUUAAAAGAAAGUAUCACUUGAAUCUAUUUUGUAAAGUUUUUAAACAUCUACUUGAGCAUUUGCAUUAGCAGUAUUAAUCAACCUGAGAAUCAGAAAAAAAAAAAAAGGUGCAAACAUAUUUGCCUUUGGCACGAGGACAAGUAAUUGGUGCAGUCCAGCUCUAAAUAAUAAUGUAAUGCUUGGUCUGCCUCUGCUACAUUGUGAUUCACAUAUUGCUUCCCUAUCCACAAAUCUAUAUUUGAUUUAGCAUAUAAAAGAAGGGAAAAAGCAAUAAAAAGACAAAUAUGUGGUUUAGUUACAUAUACUUUGCUUCUUUCCAAGUUCAGAACUGUGAAAAUAGGCAAAUAGCUUAUCCCAUUGGGGCACUAUAAGAGAUUCCUAAUAAAAUUACUCGUAAAAUAUACUUUGAGAUCGAAGAGAGUUAAUUUAAAAUAUAAAAAUCAAAGAGAGUGCCAGUUGAUGAGUUUCUACUCCUUUCUGUAAAUAGCAUUAACUGUUCUAGAAACUUCCAAAUGUUAAUCUGAUAGCGCAGCACAAUUAUAUCUUAAAAUAGUCAUAGACACAGGAAGCACAGAUACUAUAUUCACAUUAAUUCACAUAUGUAAUCUCUAUCAUUAAAUGAUUUCUAUAAAACCUCAAGUUUCUAAUUAGGAUUUGUGGUGUAAAAAAAGGCAAAUUGGUAGCUGGGUUCUUUUCAGUAAAGACACAAUCAACUAGCAGAAUUAAGAUGCUAGUCCACCUUAUAUGCAUUUUAGGAUCUGGUAUAUUAGUGCAGAGGUACUUGCAGCAGGAUGCAUGAAUCCUGCCUUUAUAUAAGGCUUUGUGGGUGUCACCAUUCUGUGCACUUUAUUAAAACUACUCCACCCCCCAAAACCUAAUAAAAAUAAUUGUUGCUUAUGACUUGGGGAAUAUUUGGUGAAGUUGCUAAUAAAGUACAUUGUUAAAUGCAACAUGAUUUCACAUUGUAAAUGUCUUGAAAAUUCAGUUUCCGCUACAUAUUUUCUUCAUAAAAUAAAAUUUUUAUACAACCCUUGUCCUCCAAUUUUUCCAAUAAUCUGCUUUAUUAGGGCCAUCACAAUAAAAGUUUGGGGCAAGAAGCCAUGCAUAAAGUGUUUCUAAAGUAGUGAAUGUUUUCUGUUCUGUAUCUUUUUUUCUUCUUAUAAUUUCUUUACAAAUGUCAGAUAUUUCUCUUCAUAUUUUUGUUCUAGGCUUCUGUGCGACGAUAGUCCAUUUUUUUAAUUUGUUUUAACUGACAAAAAUUAUAUAUAUUUAUCAUGUAUAACAUUGUUUUGGAAUAUGUAAGUUGUGGAAUAGUUAAAUUGAGCUAAUUACACAUUAUUUCAUAUGCUUAUCAUUAGAUAUUCCAUUUUAAUGGCACUUGUUUUUAAAAAUGAAACAGAGUUUUAGGCACAAUAGUCAGUUACUUCUGGCUCUGCUUUGUGGAGAAAGGUGUAUGGACUGAAAUCUCUGCACUCUCCAGAUAAUAACUUUCUAAUGCUUUAAGAUAACUAGAUUGUUUUUAACUGUCUGGAAAUUAAAAGAGACCUUAAAAAAAAUUCACAAGUGUAACUAGUGUAUGUAGAAAUAACCCUAAUUUUAGGGAUAUGCACAUAAAAAUGACAUUCUGAUAUCAAAAAUAACAGUUUCACUGUCCCUUCUCAGUGGCUACACACCUAGAAAGGUGCCAUGUGCUUUCACUGGAAGUACCACACUUGCAUUUCUGUGUUGUGAUGUCAGUAGCAGAAACCCUUAGUUAGAGCUUGCAAUUUAGCUCCCUUUUCUCCUGAAGAGGAAUCAAGUUACUACCCUGUAGAGAUACUUCAUUCUUCUAUUUGGUUUAUUUAGAAAUCACCUAUUCUGACUGAUCUUUAAGAAUGAAUGCUAUAAAGAGCUACCAAAUUUUCUUUCAAAUUCAUAAAACUGUUCACACUUUUUUGAAACAGGAGUUAAUGCCGAGAAUCCAUCAGAAGUAUCUACUGUUUAGAAGGAAAUGGAGCAGCACCAAAUGGGUCUAAUUCGACUGGUUGGGACUGUUGGGACUGAUGUGGAGUGAUGCUUUGCACCACAAGUUCUGUAAAGGGCACGGCACCAAAAUCAUCCAUUUUCAAUACAUCUGCACUAUGGAAUGA